Molecule: ribosomal RNA, 1370 nt
Filed under: uncultured bacterium
Lineage: Bacteria
Description: bacterial SSU rRNA
Rfam family: Bacterial small subunit ribosomal RNA
Source: RNAcentral
AGAGUUUGAUCCUGGCUCAGGACGAACGCUGGCGGCGCGCCUAACACAUGCAAGUCGAACGAGCGAGAGAGAGCUUGCUUUCUCGAGCGAGUGGCGAACGGGUGAGUAACGCGUGAGGAACCUGCCUCAAAGAGGGGGACAACAGUUGGAAACGACUGCUAAUACCGCAUAAGCCCACGGCUCGGCAUCGAGCAGAGGGAAAAGGAGCAAUCCGCUUUGAGAUGGCCUCGCGUCCGAUUAGCUAGUUGGUGAGGUAACGGCCCACCAAGGCAACGAUCGGUAGCCGGACUGAGAGGUUGAACGGCCACAUUGGGACUGAGACACGGCCCAGACUCCUACGGGAGGCAGCAGUGGGGAAUAUUGCACAAUGGGGGAAACCCUGAUGCAGCGACGCCGCGUGGAGGAAGAAGGUCUUCGGAUUGUAAACUCCUGUUGUUGGGGAAGAUAAUGACGGUACCCAACAAGGAAGUGACGGCUAACUACGUGCCAGCAGCCGCGGUAAAACGUAGGUCACAAGCGUUGUCCGGAAUUACUGGGUGUAAAGGGAGCGCAGGCGGGAAGACAAGUUGGAAGUGAAAUCUAUGGGCUCAACCCAUAAACUGCUUUCAAAACUGUUUUUCUUGAGUAGUGCAGAGGUAGGCGGAAUUCCCGGUGUAGCGGUGGAAUGCGUAGAUAUCGGGAGGAACACCAGUGGCGAAGGCGGCCUACUGGGCACCAACUGACGCUGAGGCUCGAAAGUGUGGGUAGCAAACAGGAUUAGAUACCCUGGUAGUCCACACCGUAAACGAUGAUUACUAGGUGUUGGAGGAUUGACCCCUUCAGUGCCGCAGUUAACACAAUAAGUAAUCCACCUGGGGAGUACGACCGCAAGGUUGAAACUCAAAGGAAUUGACGGGGGCCCGCACAAGCAGUGGAGUAUGUGGUUUAAUUCGACGCAACGCGAAGAACCUUACCAAGUCUUGACAUCCCUUGACAGGCAUAGAAAUAUGUAAUCUUUUCGGAGCAAGGAGACAGGUGGUGCAUGGUUGUCGUCAGCUCGUGUCGUGAGAUGUUGGGUUAAGUCCCGCAACGAGCGCAACCCUUAUGGUCAGUUACUACGCAAGAGGACUCUGGCCAGACUGCCGUUGACAAAACGGAGGAAGGUGGGGAUGACGUCAAAUCAUCAUGCCCUUUAUGACUUGGGCUACACACGUACUACAAUGGCGUUAAACAAAGAGAAGCAAGACCGCGAGGUGGAGCAAAACUCAGAAACAACGUCCCAGUUCGGACUGCAGGCUGCAACUCGCCUGCACGAAGUCGGAAUUGCUAGUAAUCGUGGAUCAGCAUGCCACGGUGAAUACGUUCCCGGGCCUUGCACACACCGCCCGUCA